This 464-nucleotide ribosomal RNA is filed under the name uncultured bacterium. RNAcentral describes it as "partial 16S ribosomal RNA". It matches the Rfam family "Bacterial small subunit ribosomal RNA", at positions 28 to 507 of the family's 1533-position model. The record is from RNAcentral.
GACGAACGCUGGCGGCGUGCUUAACACAUGCAAGUCGAACGGAAAGGCCCUGCUUGCAGGGUACUCGAGUGGCGAACGGGUGAGUAACACGUGGGUGAUCUGCCCUGCACUUCGGGAUAAGCCUGGGAAACUGGGUCUAAUACCGGAUAGGAGCCAUUUUUAGUGUGAUGGUUGGAAAGUUUUUUCGGUGUAGGAUGAGCUCGCGGCCUAUCAGCUUGUUGGUGGGGUAAUGGCCUACCAAGGCGGCGACGGGUAGCCGGCCUGAGAGGGUGGACGGCCACAAUGGGACUGAGAGACGGACCAGACGCCUACGGGAGGCAGCAGUGGGGAAUAUUGCACAAUGGGCGCACGCCUGAUGCAGCGACGCCGCGUGGGGGAUGACGGCCUUCGGGUUGUAAACUCCUUUCGCUAGGGACGAAGCUUUUGUGACGGUACCUAGAUAAGAAGCACCGGCUAACUACGUG